CCUACGGGGGGCAGCAGUGAGGAAUAUUGGUCAAUGGGCGCUAGCCUGAACCAGCCAAGUAGCGUGAAGGAUGACUGCCCUAUGGGUUGUAAACUUCUUUUAUAUGGGAAUAAAGUGCGGUACGUAUUCUUCUUUGCAUGUACCUUAUGAAUAAGGAUCGGCUAACUCCGUGCCAGCAGCCGCGGUAAUAAGGAGGAUCCGAGCGUUAUCCGGAUUUAUUGGGUUUAAAGGGAGCGUAGGUGGGUUAUUAAGUCAGUUGUGAAAGUUUGCGGCUCAACCGUAAAAUUGCAGUUGAUACUGGUAGACUUGAGUACAGUAGAGGUAGGCGGAAUUCGUGGUGUAGCGGUGAAAUGCUUAGAUAGCACGAAGAACUCCGAUUGCGAAGGCAGCUUGCUGGACUGUAACUGACGCUGAUGCACGAAAGUGUGGGGAUCAAACAGGAUUAGAUACCCGAGUAGUC
Molecule: ribosomal RNA, 460 nt
Filed under: uncultured bacterium
Lineage: Bacteria
Description: partial 16S ribosomal RNA
Rfam family: Bacterial small subunit ribosomal RNA
Source: RNAcentral